UGGCUCGAGUGGCGAACGGGUGAGUAACACGUGAGUAACCUGCCCUUGACUUUGGGAUAACUUCAGGAAACUGGGGCUAAUACCGGAUAGGAGCUCCUGCUGCACGGUGGGGGUUGGAAAGUUUCGGCGGUUGGGGAUGGACUCGCGGCUUAUCAGCUUGUUGGUGGGGUAGUGGCUUACCAAGGCUUUGACGGGUAGCCGGCCUGAGAGGGUGACCGGCCACAUUGGGACUGAGAUACGGCCCAG
RNAcentral lists this ribosomal RNA (246 nucleotides) under uncultured Actinomycetales bacterium. Its description in RNAcentral is "partial 16S ribosomal RNA". It matches the Rfam family "Bacterial small subunit ribosomal RNA", at positions 87 to 334 of the family's 1533-position model. The record is from RNAcentral. Lineage: Bacteria; Bacillati; Actinomycetota; Actinomycetes; Actinomycetales.